This is a long non-coding RNA of Gigantopelta aegis, 1271 nucleotides long. RefSeq lists it as uncharacterized. Lineage: Eukaryota; Metazoa; Mollusca; Gastropoda; Neomphalida; Peltospiridae. The record is from RefSeq and is a predicted model, not a curated record. The transcript has 3 exons.
UGCAGCUUCACGGAUCAGAAUAAUGUUUACUACAGUGUUUACUGCGGUACUAACAACCCCUACUGCUGUACUUCCGGUCUGAACAAAACGUGCUCGGCCAGUGUGUGUAGCGUCACUAGCAGCAAAACAACGUCCGAAUCAAUAUUACUAUUCUGGUUGAUUUUGGCGGGAGUUGGUGGAACGUUUUUUCUAGUUAUACUGGUCGCCUAUCUUAUUUGCUGGUAUCGCAAACCAAGAGACGACACCAGCGAUUCCGACAACGAGAUAUUUGAAGAAACCAUUUGCGAAACUCAGAUUCGAACUGUGACGACGCGAAAGCUUUCUCUACGAGAGGCCAUUCCAAACUUCUUUGUCCGCAGUGAGAACUCAAGGCGGGUUACCACGCGACACAAGUCUCGAGUUCCGGUGCGUGUUGUUGGACAGUUCGGAACACCGAGGCCAAACGGACCUACGGGCUCUUCAACAAAGCGGGAUAACUCUACCUUUCAUAGUCCAAGGGACAUAAUUCACGAACGUUCAGAUUCAAGGAAAGCCAUUCUUCAAACAAGAACUCACUUACCUGACGUCACCACGUGAACCCAUAGACAUUUUUAUAAUAUUUUAAAAAUAUAUAGUUUGUCUAAGGAUAUUGUGCGUUUUCCAAUCAGUUUGAGUUAAUCGUUUAGUUUCAUAACAGGAAUUAUGUCUUUGGAAUGGCGUAACAUGUGCAAGCGUUUUGUUUAUACCAUUCCAAAUUGCAAUCAAUAAAGCUAUAGGGUUAGAUGGCAUUAAUAUUUAUUACGGUCCAUUUGAGACCGUAACCAUUAAAUUAAAACGUAUCCCUGAUACUGGAAUAUGUGGUAAAUAGUUGUCCAUGAGUGUGAAAGAACAUCAAAGAUUACAAUACUUUCAUUGUGGCACUGGUACUCGACAGGCACGUAUAUUGAUCCCAUAUAUAAUAUAUUAUAUUGAUUAUUAACAGGCUUGUAAAACGUAUAGAAGAAUGCGAUAAAUGAGGCGUCUCUAUUUCAAAUAACUGGCAUGAUAUACUAUUUCAUCCUGUAAUCACUAUAUGUAUUGUCAAGAUAUGAUGACUAAAUGUCUAUAUUUUCCGUCACUGACAAACAAAUAUAGUGUUUUAGGACGGAACUACCUUUACACUAGUUAUGAUCAGCAAAGGCAUGUUAUAUUAUUCAAAGUUACUUAUUCAUUUAUUUUCAGUUGAUUAUUUUUAUUUAAAAACAAGUUUUGCAGACACUGUUUAAUUUAAAAAUAAGAAAUAAAUUGUUGUU